This 484-nucleotide ribosomal RNA is filed under the name uncultured bacterium. RNAcentral describes it as "partial 16S ribosomal RNA". It matches the Rfam family "Bacterial small subunit ribosomal RNA", at positions 30 to 507 of the family's 1533-position model. The record is from RNAcentral.
AUUGAACGCUGGCGGCAGGCCUAACACAUGCAAGUCGAGCGGAUGAAGGGAGCUUGCUCCUGGAUUCAGCGGCGGACGGGUGAGUAAUGCCUAGGAAUCUGCCUGGUAGUGGGGGAUAACGUCCGGAAACGGGCGCUAAUACCGCAUACGUCCUGAGGGAGAAAGUGGGGGAUCUUCGGACCUCACGCUAUCAGAUGAGCCUAGGUCGGAUUAGCUAGUUGGUGGGGUAAAGGCCUACCAAGGCGACGAUCCGUAACUGGUCUGAGAGGAUGAUCAGUCACACUGGAACUGGGACACGGUCCAGACUCCUACGGGAGGCAGCAGUGGGGAAUAGUGGACAAUGGGCGAAAGCCUGAUCCAGCCAUGCCGCGUGUGUGGAGAAGGUCUUCGGAUUGUAAAGCACUUUAAGUUGGGGGGAAGGGCAGUAAGUUAAUACCUUGCUGUUUUGACGUUACCAACAGAAUAAGCACCGGCUAACUUCGUG